UACAGAGGGGGCAAGCGUUAUUCGGAAUUAUUGGGCGUAAAGGGCGCGUAGGCGGCCUGGCAAGUGGAAGGUGAAAUCCCUCGGCUUAACCGAGGAACUGCCCUCCAAACUGCUUGGCUUGAGUCCGGGAGAGGUGAGUGGAGUUCCCAGUGUAGCGGUGAAAUGCGUAGAUAUUGGGAGGAACACCAGUGGCGAAGGCGGCUCACUGGACCAGAACUGACGCUGAGGCGCGAAAGCGUGGGUAGCAAACAGG
RNAcentral lists this ribosomal RNA (253 nucleotides) under uncultured bacterium. RNAcentral's name for it is "partial 16S ribosomal RNA". It matches the Rfam family "Bacterial small subunit ribosomal RNA", at positions 524 to 776 of the family's 1533-position model. The record is from RNAcentral.